This 41-nucleotide transfer RNA is filed under the name Spermatophyta environmental sample. RNAcentral's name for it is "partial tRNA-Leu". The record is from RNAcentral. Lineage: Eukaryota; Viridiplantae; Streptophyta.
AAAAUCCGUCGACUUUAGAAAUCGUGAGGGUUCAAGUCCUC